Molecule: ribosomal RNA, 495 nt
Filed under: uncultured bacterium
Lineage: Bacteria
Description: partial 16S ribosomal RNA
Rfam family: Bacterial small subunit ribosomal RNA
Source: RNAcentral
GACGAACGCUGGCGGCGUGCCUAAUACAUGCAAGUAGAACGCUGAAGGAGGAGCUUGCUUCUCUGGAUGAGUUGCGAACGGGUGAGUAACGCGUAGGUAACCUGCCUGGUAGCGGGGGAUAACUAUUGGAAACGAUAGCUAAUACCGCAUAACAGUAGAUAUCGCAUGAUAUCUACUUGAAAGGUGCAAUUGCAUCACUACCAGAUGGACCUGCGUUGUAUUAGCUAGUUGGUGAGGUAACGGCUCACCAAGGCGACGAUACAUAGCCGACCUGAGAGGGUGAUCGGCCACACUGGGACUGAGACACGGCCCAGACUCCUACGGGAGGCAGCAGUAGGGAAUCUUCGGCGAUGGACGGAAGUCUGACCGAGCAACGCCGCGUGAGUGAAGAAGGUUUUCGGAUCGUAAAGCUCUGUUGUAAGAGAAGAACGAGUGUGAGAGUGGAAAGUUCACACUGUGACGGUAUCUUACCAGAAAGGGACGGCUAACUACGUG